UAUUAAAUGUUUUAUUCAUUUUUAUUGUUAAAAAUUAGUGUGAUUGACAGAAUAACCAGACAAUUACAUGUGCGUAUAUCUUAUUCUGACAUAUAACGAUGAAUUUUUAAAAGUAUAAAUGAAUAAAAUUUUUAAUA
Molecule: non-coding RNA, 137 nt
Organism: Gossypium hirsutum (cotton)
Lineage: Eukaryota; Viridiplantae; Streptophyta; Magnoliopsida; Malvales; Malvaceae
Source: Rfam